RNAcentral lists this non-coding RNA (32 nucleotides) under Mus musculus (house mouse). Lineage: Eukaryota; Metazoa; Chordata; Mammalia; Rodentia; Muridae. The record is from RNAcentral.
UGNGGCGGCCGCUUUAAGCAUUGCUUACCACU